CUUGGGCCAAAGUGGGCUAGAAAAAGAUAGCAAACUAUUCGUUUCAUUUAUAUUUUUUUAAAAAUAAACUCAGCUAAAAAUUCGAAGCAGCUAGAAUUCAAACUUGGAACUUCAGAUGCCAAUUAUCAAAUUCUUAGUCAACUACACUACAUACGGUCGGUAAUCCUAAGUACAGUCGUCUUUGGCUCCACAAUGUUCAAACUAUUUAUUUUGAAGAUAAUUUGUUUCUCAUUUGUUCCCUUCAAUAGAUGAUAUAUCGAAGAAUAAAUUUGAAAUUGGACAGUUUAGAAAGUGCACAUGCAUUCAUUUUUUUUUGGGAAAACUUCAAAAACCCCUCCUGUCGUUUCGUAGUUUCUCACUUUGCCCUCCUGUGGUUUAAAAUGUAUCAAUUUGCUCCCAUGUGGUUUUUUUUUUUCUCUUUUUCUUAUUAAUUUUUUUUUAAAUCAGUGAUAAAGUUAAAAUUAAAAGGUACUAAAGUGAAUAUUUGAUAAAUCUAGAUGGGUAUCUGAAGUUUUUUGUAUAUAAUUUAAUAAAAUAUUAACGAAAAAGCUACCGAAAAGAUAAAAACGAAACCACAGGAGGACAAAUUGAUAUACUUUAAACCACAUGGUACUAAAGUGGGAAACAAUGAAACCACAGGGGGAUUUUUGAAGUUUUUCCUUUUUUUUUAAUUACUUUUGGCAGAAGAUAAGGAUAAUCAUAAG
This 704-nucleotide long non-coding RNA is filed under the name Ananas comosus (pineapple). RNAcentral's name for it is "long non-coding RNA (ACOM_LNC000150)". Lineage: Eukaryota; Viridiplantae; Streptophyta; Magnoliopsida; Poales; Bromeliaceae. The record is from RNAcentral.